AACAAUGAUCAGAUUAGGUCUUUAUUAGCAAAUAUGAGCUGUCAGGUCAGACUCAUGCACUAAAUAGGGUUCAUCCACAGAUUCACCCACUAAACACCCUCGUGACAUUUCAUUCUCAUCUCUUCACCAGAGUAACCUGUUUCUCUCCUGUGUUCUAGGCUGGAUAGCAAAUGGAUGUCUAAACAUAGCGUUUCCUGUUUAUGAAAACAUUACACUACAAUACAGGUAUAGUGGUUUGGAGUUGAACUGCAUUGUAUGCUUUGCUAAGGUACUGUUUGAGCUCAGAUUUGACAGUCCUGCAGUUUUUUAUGUGCAUGUAGUGUCUAAUGAAACGUGCAGAACCUUAGGGAUGUACUUCAAACUGGAGCAAACAAACAUUAUCAUUAUACAAUGGACAGGACAUUUACGUCUGGGGAGGAAUUUCUCUGAGGAAGGAGGAUUUGAAACAUAAAAAGAUGUAGUAUUUGCAAACGUAGCACUUUCAUUUGCUCCACUUAAUAUGCAAAACUGUUAUCUCUGAGCAAUUUAAGCAAGCACAUGAUUACACAAUGAACUGUUUAUAUGAAUAUGUUCCCGGAGCAAAUAAAAUAGGAUAUAUCUGCAUAGAGUACAUUCCUAGCUGGGUAGUCAUACUGGAGGGAUUCUAUGCGUAGUUGUGUUCCAUUUAAAGAUUUGCUAGACAUUGCAUUGUAUUUGACAGACAGAAAAACUGCUGACGUCUUACAAACAUGAGGUGUGGAGCAACAAACCUAAACAAAGACGAGUUUCAGUCAGACACAACAUUCCUACUCCAACAUAAAACUAUAUAAGCAAAUAUAUAAAACUUUAAAGCCAUUUUGUCUCUGCCAGAAACCUCCCAUUAAAUGAUCCUAUUAUGUUCCCUGUGUAGGGCCUAAUAGGUUUGAGCAGCAUUUGGGUUGUUAUCUAAAUUAUGGCCAUGUGUCCCUGCAUUAAACUCAGGACUAAUUUACUUACUCUCCAUUCUAAUUCACACAGGGUCUCCUGAGAGUAAUAUAACAGGCCAUUAGCUAGCCAAAUCACUGCUUGGUAUGGGAUUGCAACAUUUAGUCCAGAUGAGGGAUGUACUGUAUCCCCUGUUCAAGUGGGGAAUGAUGUUCUCCCUCUGCAAUAGCUGCCACAUAGUGUAUUGAGUAUUGUGAAAAAUAAGACCACAAGAGCAGCGCAGAGCGAGGGGUAAGGGCUUGAUUCACAGACAUGUCAGUAAAACUACAACCAUGCCAAAACCAAUCUGGCCGCCUUCUUCAGGUCAAUGACUACUGAAAGCAAAUGUAUUUUUUCUUCUCUAGUCCUCCACACCGUAGAUGGACUAAAUAAUGAUAUCUCAGACCUCUUCUUCUGUUAUAGACAUGAAGAGAAACACUCUAGAGAACGAGAGAUAAAAAUACAUUUGGUUAAAAAUACAUUUGAAAUAUGCAAGCAUACGUACCACAUUGAACGAAGACCAUUGUGAACUUAUUUUAUCUAUAUUUUGAACUUGAACUUGUUUAAUCUAUAGCUAUCUUGUAUCCAUGCCAAACAAAGCCAAUUUAAUUAUUUUCAGUUCAGUUGAAUAGUACUGUUCAUCAGAGGUUUUCACCUCUCUCUCUUCUCAUUUCGAUGCCAAUCUAUUCUUGGUAGGUGUCUCUAAGCUAGUCCUCUUGCUGAAAUACAUGUCUGUCAAUCAUGUUGGCUGAUAAUGCAACCUCCUGUGAGUCACUUUGGGUAUAUAGGCUACACUCACCAAAAAGGUUCCUAAAGGGUUCUUCAGCUGUCCCCAUAGGAUAACCUUUUUUGGUUCCACGGAGAAACCUUUUUGGUUUCAUGUAGAACCUUUUUGCUUUCCAUGUAGAAUCCUCUGUGGAAAGGGUCCUACAUGGAACUUAAAAGGUUUUUACCUGGAACCAAAAAGGGUUCUUCAAGGGGUUCUGCUAUGGGGACAACCAAAGAAACAUUUUAGGUCCUAGAUAGCACCC
Molecule: long non-coding RNA, 1973 nt
Organism: Oncorhynchus tshawytscha (Chinook salmon)
Lineage: Eukaryota; Metazoa; Chordata; Actinopteri; Salmoniformes; Salmonidae
Source: Ensembl